UACGGGGGGGGCAAGCGUUGUUCGGAAUUACUGGGCGUAAAGGGCUCGUAGGUGGCCAACUAAGUCAGACGUGAAAUCCCUCGGCUUAACCGGGGAACUGCGUCUGAUACUGGAUGGCUUGAGUUUGGGAGAGGGAUGCGGAAUUCCAGGUGUAGCGGUGAAAUGCGUAGAUAUCUGGAGGAACACCGGUGGCGAAGGCGGCAUCCUGGACCAACACUGACACUGAGGCGCGAAAGCUAGGGGAGCAAACGGG
RNAcentral lists this ribosomal RNA (253 nucleotides) under uncultured bacterium. Its description in RNAcentral is "partial 16S ribosomal RNA". It matches the Rfam family "Bacterial small subunit ribosomal RNA", at positions 524 to 776 of the family's 1533-position model. The record is from RNAcentral.